Molecule: non-coding RNA, 531 nt
Organism: Cyanistes caeruleus (blue tit)
Lineage: Eukaryota; Metazoa; Chordata; Aves; Passeriformes; Paridae
Source: RefSeq, a predicted model, not a curated record
CCAGGGAAGAAGGAGCCCCUGGAGAAGCUGUACCAGGUGGGGCUGCUGCUGCUGCUGCUGGAGACAUGGAGGACAGCAGCAAGGAUGACAACCUCUUCCUGCACCUGGCCAGCGGGAGCUGGCGAUGAUGGACUUUGAUUCUGGCACCUUCUUCAAAGCCAGGCUCCACAGGGAAUUUUCAGGAAGCAUUCUAGGUGGGGUCCAGUCUGGAUCAGGAAGUGCUUGGGACCAGCUGUGGCGUGGAUGGGCCGUGCCCUUGGAGAAGACUGAGGACAUCGUUUGGGACCAGCUUUUCUUGUGGCAGCGGAUGGUGUGAGCCGGGCUCUGCGGAUGCUGAGGCUGCUCUGGGCUCUGCCAGGGCUCUGCUGGGCUCAGCACCGGGCCAGGAUCAGCCAAAGAAGAAACGCUGUGACCUGCAGCAGAGACUUGAGCAUUUUGGCAAUGCAGCUCAAGUCUGCAGAGUGUCCACCUCCAAGGGAAAACAUGACACCCCCCAAAAAUUAAACUUGUUCCAUGACUUCUGAAAUGAAA